UACAGAGGGUGCGAGCGUUGUCCGGGAAUCACUGGGCGUAAAGGGCGCGUAGGCGGUCUCUUAAGCGUGUGGUGAAAGCCCGGGGCUCAACUCCGGGUCGGGCCUGCGAACUGGGGGGACUGGGAGCGUAUCAGAGGCGGGGCGGGAAUUCCGGGGUGUAGCGGGUGGGAAUGCGUAGAGAUCCGGGAAAGAACACCGGGUGG
Molecule: ribosomal RNA, 203 nt
Filed under: uncultured bacterium
Lineage: Bacteria
Description: partial 16S ribosomal RNA
Rfam family: Bacterial small subunit ribosomal RNA
Source: RNAcentral